GGUCUGAGAGGAUGACCAGCCACACGGGAAGUGAGACACGGUCCAGAUUCCUACGGGAGGCAGCAGUGGGGAAUAUUGCACAAUGGGCGCAAGCCUGAUGCAGCCAUGCCGCGUGUGUGAAGAAGGCCUUCGGGUUGUAAAGCACUUUCAGCGAGGAGGAAGGCAUCACACUUAAUACGUGUGGUGAUUGACGUUACUCGCAGAAGAAGCACCGGCUAACUCCGUGCCAGCAGCCGCGGUAAUACGGAGGGUGCAAGCGUUAAUCGGAAUUACUGGGCGUAAAGCGCACGCAGGCGGUUUGUUAAGUCAGAUGUGAAAUCCCCGCGCUUAACGUGGGAACUGCAUUUGAAACUG
RNAcentral lists this ribosomal RNA (354 nucleotides) under bacterium LimC-10-A-290. RNAcentral describes it as "bacterial SSU rRNA". It matches the Rfam family "Bacterial small subunit ribosomal RNA", at positions 289 to 635 of the family's 1533-position model. The record is from RNAcentral. RNAcentral also lists the same sequence under 1 other name.